GAGGUGGGCCAAGCUCAUCCACUUAACCCACUAAGAAAUAUAAAAGGAAAACCAAAUGGAUUUGUGCCCUUAUUUCGUAGGAAAAAAAGUUAGAAUGAGAAGGCUGGCAAGGGAAGCCACCAGCCCUUCGUGCAAGCCAAAAAAAAAAAAAAAAAAAGAAAGAAAAUAGAGAAGACUUCAACCCGUGAUUUUCUAGACAAGAAAGCAACGAGGGUCUGAAUUUUGGCGUUCUUUUGGAGGAACAAAGAGGACUCAACCAUCGAUAAGAUAACUAAGAGAAGUAGGAAAAGGAGAUUCUGAUAGCGAAGAAUAACAUGAGGAUCCUGGUGGACUAUGUUGCACACAUUGUAGGAAUAUCAACUUUAUGUCAAGUUUGCUAAAUGAAGAUUAUGGCUAGACCGAUGACAUUCCCCCUACAUAUUGUAUAUAGGGAUAAGAUUUACAUGGAUACUAAGAAGGUGGGAGCAAUUCAAAAUGGUAGAGUGCCACUAACCUUGUUAACAUAGAAAGUUGAAGUUUAAGUAGAGGGAGAAAUGUGAUCAAAUCUCAGGACUGGAGACAUUUUUAACCACUGCACAAUAUGCACCUUACAGCUAAGAUCCAUAUGAUUCACUUUAGUCUGCGAUGUUUUGAGGUUGGUAUUGGGAAUUCUUUUACUUGUGCAAAAUAAUGAUAUAAUAGUGACUCUAUCCCACUCAUAAUCUGGAAAUGAUUACAGUAAGAUUUGUUAUGAAGAUCUGGAGACAUUACUCAUAUGAGAAAAUUUGUGAUAUUAAAACCAACCACAAGAAUUACAUGUACAUUUUUCCAGCAAAGAUAUUUGAAUCCUUGGCCUUCUCGAUGUAUGUAAUCACUCUACGACUAUGAUUGUAAUAUUUUAUAU
Long non-coding RNA from Capsicum annuum, 883 nucleotides. RefSeq lists it as uncharacterized. Lineage: Eukaryota; Viridiplantae; Streptophyta; Magnoliopsida; Solanales; Solanaceae. The record is from RefSeq and is a predicted model, not a curated record. The transcript has 2 exons.